RNAcentral lists this ribosomal RNA (497 nucleotides) under uncultured bacterium. RNAcentral describes it as "partial 16S ribosomal RNA". It matches the Rfam family "Bacterial small subunit ribosomal RNA", at positions 28 to 507 of the family's 1533-position model. The record is from RNAcentral.
GAUGAACGCUGGCGGCGUGCCUAAUACAUGCAAGUCGAGCGAACGGACGAGAAGCUUGCUUCUCUGAUGUUAGCGGCGGACGGGUGAGUAACAAGUGGAUAACCUACCUAUAAGACUGGGAUAACUUCGGGAAACCGGAGCUAAUACCGGAUAAUAUUUUGAACCGCAUGGUUCAAAAGUGGAAGACGGUCUUGCUGUCACUUAUAGAUGGAUCCGCGCUGCAUUAGCUAGUUGGUAAGGUAACGGCUUACCAAGGCAACGAUGCAUAACCGACCUGAGAGGGUGAUCGGCCACACUGGAACUGAGACACGGUCCAGACUCCUACGGGAGGCAGCAGUAGGGAAUCUUCCGCAAUGGGCGAAAGCCUGACGGAGCAACGCCGCGUGAGUGAUGAAGGUCUUCGGAUCGUAAAACUCUGUUAUUAGGGAAGAACAUAUGUGUAAGUAACUGUGCACAUCUUGACGGUACCUAAUCAGAAAGCCACGGCUAACUACGUG